Molecule: ribosomal RNA, 200 nt
Filed under: uncultured bacterium
Lineage: Bacteria
Description: partial 16S ribosomal RNA
Rfam family: Bacterial small subunit ribosomal RNA
Source: RNAcentral
AUUGAACGCUGGCGGCAUGCUUUACACAUGCAAGUCGAACGGUAACAGGGAGCUCGCUCCGCUGACGAGUGGCGAACGGGUGAGUAAUAUAUCGGAACGUACCCAAGAGUGGGGGAUAACGUAGCGAAAGUUACGCUAAUACCGCAUACGAUCCAAGGAUGAAAGCAGGGGACCCGCAAGGCCUUGUGCUCCUGGAGCGG